CUCUCGUACAUCUUACGAAUCACUGAGGUAGGAGUGAAGGAAGGAGAAAGCUGCAGAGAAAAACAGUAUUAACACAUUCUUUAAAUGCCUUUCCUAAUCAACUGGCCAAACUACUGAAGCUGAAGAGUCCCCUUCUGGCUACAUGUGGCAGAGGCCAACUCCAACGUUCUGGUCUCUAGCUGCUGGAAGAAAAGCAACAGGAUGGGCCAAAUAGGCGGUGGCCCAAGUGCACCAUCCCAUGCUCACAAUUUCAUCAAAACGUAGAUUUAGCUCUAGCAUAAAGGUAAUUGAAGCACAGAAGCUUCAACCUACCUGUCUGCGGUGAUGGGGAUCUGCCUAUGGCAGCCUCUGCUUCAGGAUUAGGCUGGGAAGGGGGAAAGAACAUGGCCAGAAGCAUACCCUGCAACAGCAGCCCUCCCAGCUAGGAAAGGACAUUUCAGCGACAACCACAGAACCUAAAUUUCUCUAUACUCGUAAUGUUUCCCAUCUUAACCUGGCUACCAGAAAAUCCACAAUUAUGUUCUUAAAGGUAUCCUCAGCCACCAGUACUCACUAUUUGGGGUCAUUUGUUCCCACCUCUUUAUUGCCUACUUUUACAUUGAUGAUUUUAUUAUGCAUGCAACUUUUCUCAUCAAACAAUCCCAAAUCUUUGAUGACAGGAGACAGGGCAUGAAUUAUGAACAGAAAAGCUCUUAGAUCCUGCCUUCUGGGUGCUUAGUGCAAAGACCCACUUGAGGUCCUGAAGUACAGAGCAAUAGUCUUUUCCCCUUAUCAGCUUUGACUAGGUGAUAAAGGUCUGUGGGGGGAUGAAACCUAAAAAAGGUAAAUAAUGCUGUUACACGAGUCGGCUGUAAAACUUGACUUGUCACCACAAGUAAGCAAACCUCUCUAUCCCAGCCUUAACUUGUAUUGAGACCUGAAUCUGAAUUCGUGAACUCCCACCAUGUUUCUCUGGACUUCCCAUGCUCCAAGCCCAGUCACCUCACCUCCUCCUAUCCUUACCCCUGUCCUCCCCUGCUCCCCACUCCAAUUCUUCAUUUGUUUGAACAUAUCACACCACGCUGUAUGCUCUGGCCCUUACUUGUCUAUCUGCUGGAACACACUUUCCCCAAGGUAGGGGCUUCACUAGAACUUAGAAUCCUGAGUUAGACUGUAUCCUAAGAGGGGAGGGCCUAAUAAAUAGGCAGGCAUAAAAGUCUAUUAAAUCACUGACUCCUGUGGAAGGCACUCAAGGACAUUUUGGGGUACACAGUGAUCCAACAUAGGCACAACCAAACAGGGAGAAGCCUAGGAGUCAUUCAUAAAGGCAAAGGUCACUGACCAUGCUUGUGAUGGAGGCGGCUGGGGCAGGGGAAGAGGAAUUCCCUCCGUGCACAGGUGCUGGUGACUUGGUCACUCGCGGUUGCCUGUGAACAAACCAGUUAUCAGUGUGAGCCCCAAGCUACUCAAACUCCAAGUUCUAAAACCACAUAAAACUCAAGGCCAGCCUAGGAAGCAUCCCAUUUCCUUUCUUCAAUUCAAUUUCCCAAGCAUUUAAUAAGUGUCUAACAUAUGCAAGACCAUGUGCUAAGUUCUGAGGAAAGACAAAAGCUUAAUGAUACAUGGUCCCAGGCCUUGCAAGAACUCUCAUCUAGUGGGGGAGAUACUUACAAACCUAGGGCAAACAAGGAAUGUCAAUAUUAGGGUACCAACAAAGUACAAUGGGAAAAUGAGGGGUAGAAGGAAUGAGAGGAUACCCCUACGAUGCAGGGACUUUGCAAAAGCUUCUCUUGGAAGGAGCUGCAUUGAGUGUGCCAAUGAUAAACUACAGACGGAGAACAAUGAUUCAGGUAGAAGGAACAGGUACAGGGACUCGGGAAGGCCUUGGGAAUGUAGGGUUAUCCAGGGCUAGUGUGUAGUUUACUUGCUGACUAUUCCAGUGAGGUAGGCUAGGGAGGGCCUUUAUUCUGUAGGGCAGGCUGUGCUCCAGAAGGUAGGGAGCAACACUGAGUAGUACGGUGCCUGGCAGAGAACUGAGGCUCUGUGAGACACUGAUUCAAGUCAAAUAGAGCACCAAGACUUUGAGCUAUUUUAGGACCCAGUUACAUGAAGCAUUCCCCGCUACUCCUGGUCUCACACAGGGUUGGUCCCAGGCUUCCCAAAUACAAGUUUAAAAGAGCAGACUUCCCUUCUCUCCCCAGACAUCCUACUUAUUCUCUCUUAACUUGGAAGAAAACAGGAAACAGUUGAUGAUGACAUAAACAGGCUGAGACAAGAAUGAACUAUGUGAGCUCACUGGCUAAUCAAAGCUUCACUGCAUUUCAGCCAUGUCAGACCUUGUUCUGCAAAGGCCAAAGCUCCAAGUACAGUCAAUGAUUCUGGAAGUUCUCUGACUCAUAAGCAGAUGGGAAUCCUAAACUCAUGGCUUCUUUCCAGUCUGUACCAGGUUGAGUUUGUGUUACUCUUUGCCUAGCACCUUAAAUUAUAUCAUCCAUUCCUUUAUGCGUGUGUUUGAGGCUCAUUCCCUCAGCUGAAGCCAGAUAUAUUUCAGAGCACUGAAACCCCAACAUCAUACCAGUUAUCCUCACAACUCCGGGUCAACUGUGUUAAUAUCAAACCCUAGAAUCAUAUCUGAAAGAAGAUGUUCAAAAGCAUCAGGGCAAAGACCAAUUUUUUUAUUGGAUUUGGCUUUGACAAGUACUGGCAAACCCUGCAGACAUGAAUACAAAAUGAUUGUAAACAAACAGGCUGUGCCAGCAAAUGCUGACUUUCAAGUCCACUAAUUUGCAAUCAUUAAAUUAUAGGAGAAGCAUUAUAGUGAUGUUUCACUGUGAAAAAUUGGGAAUUGUACCCAAAACCCAACCACCUUGGUGAUAAACAGGAAUUUUUAAAAGAAAAAAGCCAGAAGAUACCCAGGAGGAACAUGAAAAAGUAAAGGAAGUGAAUAUAAGGUAUCUGGACAUUUUCUAAAGAUUUGACAGUAAGUGUUAAGAAAGUCAUUUCCAUAUUUUGAUCAGUGACCAACUUUGUUAGAGAAGCUAAGUUUUAUUAUAGCUAAAACAUAAGUAGAGACAGUCGCUUUUACACACCACUUACUAUAAAUGCCAAUUUCAAGAAGCUAGAGCAUUUUGAACCCAAAAAGAAUCUUAAGAGUUUAUCUAGUCAGUCAUUUUUUACCAUAGAGCCAGCAGGGAUACUCUAAUACCAGUCCCUCCCUCCCCUUAUGCACAUUGGUACUCAGCUGACUGCUGCUACAUCCCACAGCCUAAGCUAGUCAAGAAGAGGAGACUGUGAACUGCAGUCUGGUAUGUUUCAGCUGCUCUUUCUAGACUACAUUUUUAAUAGCAUUUUUAAGGUAACCUAUAUGACUGUUAGUUUGGUCCGUUAAGGGUCAUUUAGACUAGUCAUAUCCUAGGAUUCAUAUUAUUCUGAUACAGAUAUUGUGAAAUAUUUUUGCUCUUUGACAAUUACUAAGUUUUACUAAUCAAUGCUUUUCUUUCAUUACUUUCCACUUUUAUGGAAAUUUCCAUAUUUUUGUAUUUGUUUCACUCUAGUUUGAUUUUUCUUUGGAUUUGUAAUGAAUGCAUUUAAGGCUACACACUUUCACCUUAGCACACUUUUGAUUAUUUCACCAAGGUUUUUCUAUGUCAUGCUCCUGUUCAUCACUCUACAUAGUUUAGGAUUUGUUUUGAUUUCGUUUUUCUUCAUUCAAAAUACUUCUAUGGGGCUUCCCUGGUGGCGCAGUGGUUGGGGGUCCACCUGCCAAUGCACGGGAUGUGGGUUCGUGCCCUGGUUCGGGAGGAUCCCACAUGGCGCGGAGCGGCUGAGCCUGUGCUCCGCAACGGGAGAGGCCGCGGCGGUGAGAGGCCCGCGUACCGCAAAAAAAACAAAAACAAAAUACUUCUAUGUACCUGUUAUGUAUCAGGUACUGUAGUAAGAGCUGCAUAUCUAAAAUCAGCUUAUUUUUAAUUACAUAACUGAAAUUAUUUGCACAUGUGAUCUAAAUUUUCAUUUUGUACAGAUUUUCGUGGCUGUCAACUUCUAAUGUAUUGCAGUGCCAGUAAAUAUAGCUUAAAAAUAUAGGUGUAAUUCUGUCUAUGCCAAUUAAUACCCAACAUCUGUGGGGCCUACUAAGUGCCAGGUACUAUACCUCAAACAGUUUAUAUCAUUUGUCAGUUGAUAUUCAAAUCUUAUAUAGCCCUUCUUUUUCCCAAUUGACUGGUCAUUUUCUGAGCAUUAUAAUAGAGUCCAGCUGGUUAUACAGCACAACCAGAGCAUCUCUUUUUACUGAUCCCAGCUUUGCUUUUAAGUGAAUCUAUUAUAGAAUAUACACCUUAAUGAGUAGUACCUCCAUGAAAAGCAUGGAGAGAUUUCCUAGCCAGGUACCUUCUCAGAAUUAACCAAGUUUUGGUUGAGGGUGAGGGCCAAAGGAUAAGAUGGUGCUGAGUUCCUAUUCCUCCCUUUUAUGCUUUAUAGGCAGUAUAGUUGGGGGGAAUUAGGAGUAAAGACUGUUAACUGAAACUACAAAAAUUAGAAUUCAGUUUCCACUACUAACCAGCUAUGUGACUUUAGGCAAGUUAUUUAAACCUCUCUGUGCCUGCCUUCCUCACCUGUAAAACAGAAACAGUAGUAAUCUAACUUACAAGAGUUUUGUGGGGAUUAAAUGACUUAUUGGAUACAAAGCCUAAAACAAUCAGCACUGUAUGCAUGUUACCUAUUAUUAAAAGUUUAGUUUUGAAUUCUUCCUCUGCCUAGUUACACAGGUAAGUUUCACAGGUACUCACAUUUGGAGCCAAGUACAGGCCUCUAAAUUUUGACCUUUUGCUGUGAAAACUUUUUACAAUAAGAUUUCCAUCUGUCUUCUAGGAGAAUGCAAAAAAAAAAAUGUCACUAAACACAGCUGGUAUAAAAAUAAAAAAUUACUGUCCCCUCAAAAGCUAAGAAUUUGAGAGGGUCACUCAGUUUUACAUCAAGUAAAUUAAACUCAUAUCUGGAUGCAACCCUUCCACUCAUAGUGAGCCAAAGGACUACUGGCCACCUCACUGUAAGUGACGUAUCUGGCUAGAGGACUUAGUUAAAACUGUGCUAGAACUUAAGGAGCAAAACCACGCAGCUGCUGGUUGAUCUGCAGCUGCCCUCCACAUAUUCCUGAACAGUGCUAUAGAAAAGUGUGGUCUUGGGCCAAGCUGGUCCACAAUGAGGUAAGCUGAGAGUCGGAGUAAAUGCUUAGCAACUUUUAUAGCAACUGGGCAUUGCUGUGAUAUUUGUACUUUAUACUAAGGUACUGGUCCUCAAUGGAUUGGAAAUAAAACCUGGCCUUCACCAUAGAGAAUUUGAGAAGUACUGCCCUAGAACUCACCUGUGGCCCUGUACCUAUCAGUGCUAUGCAGUGUCUGCUCACCUAUUCCAGGUGGCCAUCUUUUAGGCUUUUGGGGGCAGGCAAAUGACAAAGGCAUGCCUCUCUGUCAUGCCCAGCUUUGUCCACUCAUGCAAUGAUCAAACAAGAAGCAGUUACAGUUAAGGAGUAGAGUAAGUUAAGUUAGAACCACUAGUUCUAAAGGACUGGUCAAACUUACUUGCUGUAUUUCAUGUCCUGUAAAGAACAUCUGGGACGUACAGAUGCUUUUGGUCAAAUGGUUUUUAAAAUUCUAUUUCAUCAGUCCUAUGCACUCUUUCAGCAACCACAGAAAAAUCUCAAUUCUGGGGGCACAGGCCACAGUUUUAUCUUUUCUCCAAAAAUCUGAUGAGGCAUUACUAAUCCCUAAAUGGCCAAAGGGGACAGGAGCAAGGGCAGGUACCAAGUGAAGAUUUGGGAUGUCUUACCGUUUCUACUUUAAAAGUCGAGAAAGAUUAGACCUCAACAGUUUAACAGCAACAGUGAUAGUAUCCCACAUUCCUUUUCAUGAAAGGUUUUCGGAACCAUCACAUCACACAGGUACCACCUAACCAGCCUUACCCAAGGAAUGCAGAUCAGUAUGAUACUGAUCAGUAAUAAAAAUCCACCUCCACAAUAAGGCUCUAUAGCAAACACUUAACAACUUAAAAAUAAAAGCAAUGUUCUUAAACAUCUGAAGAAUUCUUAAUCCAAUGCUAACAACCUGGAAAAAGUUAACUAGUAUAGAAUUCUCACUUAGUCAUUUCCACUUAGCCUCUCAAAACGAAGCCAACAAAAAUUCAAAUAAUAUUUAAGAAUAAAAGCC
Delphinapterus leucas (beluga whale) is the source of this 6179-nucleotide non-coding RNA. NCBI's taxonomy places the organism in Eukaryota, Metazoa, Chordata, Mammalia, Artiodactyla, Monodontidae. The record is from RefSeq and is a predicted model, not a curated record.